This 276-nucleotide long non-coding RNA is filed under the name Carica papaya (papaya). RNAcentral's name for it is "long non-coding RNA (CPAP_LNC014494)". Lineage: Eukaryota; Viridiplantae; Streptophyta; Magnoliopsida; Brassicales; Caricaceae. The record is from RNAcentral.
AUCCCGGCCAAACGGCCGGAAUACGCGGCCGAAGCCCAGCGGCGCCGCCGCGCCCCCUCUCGAUUUUUGCCUCCGACGAGGCCCUUCCCGGCCUCCGUUCGAUGCAAUUUUUAUAUCACCGUGAUCACCAUUCUUUUCUCUACAGGUUGACCGGAGCCGAAUCACCAAAACACGAACCUCGCCGGAGAGCCGCCGCACCCGAGAGCGCCGCCGCCGGUAAGCUCCGUUUUUCCGUGAUUUUUUGGCCCCCCGAGGGCCCUAGGGUUGUUUUCUGAC